GCAUAUCAAUAAGCGGAGGAAAAGAAACCAACAGGGAUUGCCUCAGUAACGGCGAGUGAAGCGGCAACAGCUCAAAUUUGAAAUCUGGCCCCCUCGGGGCCCGAGUUGUAAUUUGGAGAAGAUGCUUCGGGUGUGGUCCCGGCCUAAGUUCCUUGGAACAGGACGUCACAGAGGGUGAGAAUCCCGUACGUGGCCGGUGGCCGCCCCCGUGUGAAGCUCUUUCGACGAGUCGAGUUGUUUGGGAAUGCAGCUCAAAAUGGGUGGUAAAUUUCAUCUAAAGCUAAAUAUUGGCCAGAGACCGAUAGCGCACAAGUAGAGUGAUCGAAAGAUGAAAAGCACUUUGGAAAGAGAGUUAAACAGUACGUGAAAUUGUUGAAAGGGAAGCGCUUGCAACCAGACUUGCGCGCGGCCGAUCACCCGGUGCUCGCACCGGUGCACUCGACCGCGCGCAGGCCAGCAUCGGUUUGGGCGGCUGGACAAAGGCCCCGGGAACGUGACCCCUCUCGGGGGGUGUUAUAGCCCGGGGCGCAAUGCAGCCCGCCCGGACCGAGGACCGCGCUUCGGCUAGGAUGCUGGCGUAAUGGUUGUCAGCGACCCGUCUUGAAACACGGACCAAGGAGUCUAACAUCUAUGCGAGUGUUUGGGUGCCAAACCCAUACGCGUAAUGAAAGUGAACGGAGGUGAGAGCCCUGAAGGGUGCAUCAUCGACCGAUCCUGAUGUCUUCGGAUGGAUUUGAGUAAGAGCAUAGCUGUUGGGACCCGAAAGAUGGUGAACUAUGCCUGAAUAGGGUGAAAGCCAGAGGAAACUCUGGUGGAGGCUCGCAGCGGUUCUGACGUGCAAAUCGAUCGUCAAAUUUGGGCAUAGGGGCGAAAGACUAAUCGAACCAUCUAGUAGCUGGUUCCUGCCGAAG
This 911-nucleotide ribosomal RNA is filed under the name Myxotrichum stipitatum. Its description in RNAcentral is "LSU rRNA". It matches the Rfam family "Eukaryotic large subunit ribosomal RNA", at positions 38 to 966 of the family's 3401-position model. Lineage: Eukaryota; Fungi; Ascomycota; Leotiomycetes; Myxotrichaceae. The record is from RNAcentral.